RNAcentral lists this ribosomal RNA (250 nucleotides) under uncultured bacterium. RNAcentral describes it as "partial 16S ribosomal RNA". It matches the Rfam family "Bacterial small subunit ribosomal RNA", at positions 524 to 773 of the family's 1533-position model. The record is from RNAcentral.
UACAGAGGGUGCAAGCGUUGUCCGGAUUUAUUGGGUGUAAAGGGUGCGUAGGCGGGACGAUAAGUCCGAGGUGAAAGCCCGCAGCUUAACUGCGGAACUGCCUUGGAUACUGUCGACCUUGAGUCCCGGAGGGGUGGCUGGAAUUCCUGGUGUAGCGGUGAAAUGCGUAGAUAUCAGGAGGAACACCGGAGGUGUAGACGGGUCACUGGACGGGUACUGACGCUGAGGCACGAAAGCGUGGGGAGCAAAC